This 301-nucleotide ribosomal RNA is filed under the name uncultured bacterium. RNAcentral describes it as "partial 16S ribosomal RNA". It matches the Rfam family "Bacterial small subunit ribosomal RNA", at positions 509 to 807 of the family's 1533-position model. The record is from RNAcentral.
CAGUAGCCGCGGUAACACGUAGGGUGCAAGCGUUAAUCGGAAUUACUGGGCGUAAAGCGUGCGCAGGCGGUUAUAUAAGACAGAUGUGAAAUCCCCGGGCUCAACCUGGGAACUGCAUUUGUGACUGUAUAGCUAGAGUACGGCAGAGGGGGAUGGAAUUCCGCGUGUAGCAGUGAAAUGCGUAGAUAUGCGGAGGAACACCGAUGGCGAAGGCAAUCCCCUGGGCCUGUACUGACGCUCAUGCACGAAAGCGUGGGGAGCAAACAGGAUUAGAUACCCCCGUAGUCCCUGUCUCUUAUAC